CCUACGGGAGGCAGCAGUGAGGAAUAUUGGUCAAUGGGCGGGAGCCUGAACCAGCCAAGUCGCGUGAGGGAAGACGGUCCUAUGGAUUGUAAACCUCUUUAGGCGGGGAGCAAUGCCUGGCACGCGUGCCCGGAGGGAGAGUACCCGCAGAAUAAGCAUCGGCCACCUCCGUGCCAGCAGCCGCGGUAAUACGGAGGAUGCGAGCGUUAUCCGGAUUUAUUGGGUUUAAAGGGUGCGUAGGCGGAUUGGCAAGUCAGAUGUGAAAGCCUGGGGCUUAACCGCAGAACUGCAUUUGAAACUGUUGGUCUUGAGUACUGGAGAGGCAGGCGGAAUUCCUAGUGUAGCGGUGAAAUGCGUAGAUAUUAGGAGGAACACCAGUGGCGAAGGCGGUCUGCUGGACAGCAACUGACGGUGAGGCGCGAAAGCGUGGGGAGCAAACAGGAUUAGAUACCCUUGUAGUC
RNAcentral lists this ribosomal RNA (461 nucleotides) under uncultured bacterium. Its description in RNAcentral is "partial 16S ribosomal RNA". It matches the Rfam family "Bacterial small subunit ribosomal RNA", at positions 338 to 795 of the family's 1533-position model. The record is from RNAcentral.